This 414-nucleotide ribosomal RNA is filed under the name uncultured prokaryote. RNAcentral's name for it is "bacterial SSU rRNA". It matches the Rfam family "Bacterial small subunit ribosomal RNA", at positions 505 to 918 of the family's 1533-position model. The record is from RNAcentral.
GUGUCAGCAGCCGCGGUAAUACGGAGGGGGCUAGCGUUGUUCGGAAUUACUGGGCGUAAAGCGUGUGUAGGUGGUUCGUUAAGUCGGAUGUGAAAGCCCCGGGCUCAACCUGGGAACUGCAUUCGAUACUGACGGACUAGAGUUUAGCAGAGGAAAGCGGAAUUCCGGGUGCAGCGGUGAAAUGCGUAGAUAUCCGGAGGAACACCAGUGGCGAAGGCGGCUUUCUGGGUUAAAACUGACACUGAGGCACGAAAGCGUGGGUAGCAAACAGGAUUAGAUACCCUGGUAGUCCACGCCCUAAACGAUGUCGACUGGCUGUCGGGUUCAUUUGGAACUUGGUAGCGAAGCUAACGCGUUAAGUCGACCGCCUGGGGAGUACGGCCGCAAGGUUGAAACUUAAAGGAAUUGACGGGG